RNAcentral lists this ribosomal RNA (491 nucleotides) under uncultured bacterium. RNAcentral describes it as "partial 16S ribosomal RNA". It matches the Rfam family "Bacterial small subunit ribosomal RNA", at positions 29 to 507 of the family's 1533-position model. The record is from RNAcentral.
AGUGAACGCUGGCGGCAGGCCUAACACAUGCAAGUCGAACGGCAGCACAGUAAGAGUUUGCUCUUACGGGUGGCGAGUGGCGGACGGGUGAGGAAUACAUAGGAAUCUACUUUUUCGUGGGGGAUAACGUGGGAAAGUUACGAUUACCCCGUAAUAGAUCUAACGGCGAAAGGCAGGGGUUUUAGGCGCUUUUGCGGUUGCAUGUAGCGGUGUCGGAUUCGCUUGUUGGAGGGGGAAAGGUCCCGCAAGGCGACGAUCCGUAGCCGGUCCGAGAGGAUGAUCAGCCACACUGGAACUGAGACACGGUCCAGACUCCUACGGGAGGCACCAGUGGGGAAUAUUGGACAAUGGGCGCAAGCCUGAUCCAGCCAUACCGCGUGGGUGAAGAAGGCCUUCGGGUUGUAAAACCCUUUUGUUGGGAAAGAAAAGCAGCAGGUUAAUACCCCGCUGUUCUGACGGUACCCAAAGAAUAAGCACCGGCUAACUUCGUG